AACGAACGCUGGCGGCAUGCCUAAUACAUGCAAGUCGAACGAGACCAUCGGGUCUAGUGGCGCACGGGUGCGUAACGGGUGGGAACCUGACCUUAGGGUCGGAAUAACUACACGAAAGGGGUGAUAAUACCGGAUAAUGUCUACGGACCAAAGAUUUAUCGCAUUUGGAUGGGCACGAGUGGGAUUAGCUAGUUGGUAGGGUAAAAGCCUCCCAAGGCGACGAUCCAUAGCUGGUCUGUGAGGAGGAUCAGCCACACUGGGACUGAGACACGGCCCAGACUCCUCCGGGAAGCAGCAGUGGGUAAUAUUGCACCGUGGGCUAAAUCCUGAUCCAGCACUGCCGCUUGAGUUCUGAAGGCCUUAGGGUUGUAAAGCUCUUUUACCCGUGAUGAUAUUGACAGUACCGGGAGAAUAAGCUCCGGCUAACUCCGUG
Molecule: ribosomal RNA, 433 nt
Filed under: uncultured bacterium
Lineage: Bacteria
Description: partial 16S ribosomal RNA
Rfam family: Bacterial small subunit ribosomal RNA
Source: RNAcentral